RNAcentral lists this ribosomal RNA (434 nucleotides) under uncultured bacterium. RNAcentral describes it as "partial 16S ribosomal RNA". It matches the Rfam family "Bacterial small subunit ribosomal RNA", at positions 29 to 507 of the family's 1533-position model. The record is from RNAcentral.
AGCGAACGCUGGCGGCAGGCCUAACACAUGCAAGUCGAACGAACCUUUCGGGGUUAGUGGCGGACGGGUGAGUAACACGUGGGAACGUGCCUUUAGGUUCGGAAUAACUCAGGGAAACUUGUGCUAAUACCGAAUGUGCCCUUCGGGGGAAAGAUUUAUCGCCUUUAGAGCGGCCCGCGUCUGAUUAGCUAGUUGGUUGAGGUAAUGGCUCACCAAGGCGACGAUCAGUAGCUGGUCUGAGAGGAUGAUCAGCCACAUUGGGACUGAGACACGGCCCAAACUCCUACGGGAGGCAGCAGUGGGGAGGCUUGCGCAAUGGGCGAAAGCCUGACGCAGCCAUGCCGCGUGAAUGAUGAAGGUCUUAGGAUUGUAAAAUUCUUUCACCGGGGACGAUAAUGACGGUACCCGGAGAAGAAGCCCCGGCUAACUUCGUG